UUCCAUCUACAUUUAAAAAUAAAAUUUGCCAAAGAACACGCUGAACACACGCUGAAACACAAGCAAGAAAACCUCUUUCUCUCAAAUUUCCUCCCACCAAUUCCUUGCCAUUUCAAACGAUCUCAACCUCUAUCCCACACAAAAUCGGCCACUGAAUCCAUUUUUGGCAUCAAUUUUAUCAAUCGUUGCUCCGUUUUUUCAGAAACAGCUCCGCAAUAUUCCGUGGGCGAGCUGUUUUUGGCCGAUUCCGGUCACCAUGUUUGUCGUCUCGAAAAACUGACAUCGUUUUUGAAUUCAUCUCGUCGAAACCUUCAAGAAACACUACUCAUUUGCAUUUUCGGUGAAGUUGACGUCGGACCCUUCCGGUACUCCGACGAUCUCGUGUCGAUCUUUGGAUUCGUGCUUUACGUUGUCAAUCUGCAGUUGCCGUUGAAAACUCUCAUUGACUUCUGGGUUUGAUAAAGCGUCGAAAUAAGUUAUUACAGGUUAAUGAGUCUCGAAGUUCAUGUUUGGGAGAAACUCCGCUCUGAUAGGUGAUACCGGGAAUUAAGAGUU
Molecule: long non-coding RNA, 555 nt
Organism: Cicer arietinum (chickpea)
Lineage: Eukaryota; Viridiplantae; Streptophyta; Magnoliopsida; Fabales; Fabaceae
Source: RefSeq, a predicted model, not a curated record